UACGUAGGGGGCAAGCGUUGUCCGGAAUCAUUGGGCGUAAAGAGCGUGUAGGCGGCCUGGUAAGUCCGCUGUGAAAGUCCAGGGCUCAACCCUGGGAUGCCGGUCGAUACUGCCGGACUAGAGUUCGGAAGAGGAGAGUGGAAUUCCCGGUGUAGCGGUGAAAUGCGAAGAUAUCGGGAGGAACACCUAUGGCGAAGGCAGCUCGCUGGGACGUUACUGACGCUGAGACGCGAAAGCGUGGGGAGCAAACAGG
RNAcentral lists this ribosomal RNA (253 nucleotides) under uncultured bacterium. RNAcentral's name for it is "partial 16S ribosomal RNA". It matches the Rfam family "Bacterial small subunit ribosomal RNA", at positions 524 to 776 of the family's 1533-position model. The record is from RNAcentral.